UUAUACAUAAAAGUACAAAAUUCUACAAUUUCAAACAGGAGGAUGCUUUGGUUCCUUUCAGGUAACCUUCCUUAACUCUUUGUUAAAUUGCUAGAAGGAUUUGUGCGCACACCCGCUGUCAGCUCAGUGUUAACUUACCCUCUCAGCAUAAACUGCUUGGAGAGCGAUGUGAGCAGGCUGGGCACUGCCAAGUUCAUGCAAGCUGCUCUGGAAAUUCAGCUGAGGCAAAUAAUGAGCACCUGAUUUAUGGGUGAGAAGGUCUUCAAUGUUUCAGCUCUUUCUAAAGCACUCUCUGAUUGUGUUCUAAUGGGCAAUUUUGGUAGCUCACAUUUUUGCACACACAAGUCACAUUAAUUUUUAGAAGUAUCUGACCACUGGGAUUUUUUUUUUUUUUUUUUUUUGUGGGAGCAGUUCAGAGGGCUUUUCUGGUUCUUGUUUUUCUUUUGGUUUAUCUUGAAUUCCUUUAUUUACUUCAAGGGUGUAGGUUCUUUUUUAUAUAUAUAUAUAUACUUAGGGAACUGUUGUUAUUAUCUGCCAAACAUCUCAGAAAAUUAAGGAAGUUUGAAGAUUUCAAAGGAGAAGUGCCUUAAACCAGCUGCCACUUUGCUCAUUUCAACCUUUGACACUAUGAGGAGUUUCAAGGACUUGUCUUCUGAAAGUGUUUACCUUGUGAGGUGGCUUCCUGGGAACGGAUCAAAAGCAAGUAUUGCCUUACUCCUUGUAUGCCCUAAAAUACCAUCAUCUGUUCUGAUCCAUGGAAAAACGAUGAAAAUAAAUGCCUGGGGUAUAUGCCCAACUGAAGAGAGCAUUCUUGAAGAGCCAUACCGUGUUUUAGAACAGAAAACUGCUUUUCCCUAGUGAUAAAGUUGACUGACUACUUUGCAAAAUAGUUUUGCAAUCAUUUGAAAACCACUGGAAAAUUCACCCUUGUGAUUACUGUUUCAAGGAGACAGAAGAUCCAUCUGUGUGGAGAGCUGAGGGAAUUACAGAUGGAAGGGUAAGAGAAAUGCCCUUUAGAUUCCAAACUGUAUUUCUCCCUUACAAUAAAACAACAUUUAAGAUUCA
Molecule: long non-coding RNA, 1065 nt
Filed under: Cyanistes caeruleus (blue tit)
Lineage: Eukaryota; Metazoa; Chordata; Aves; Passeriformes; Paridae
Description: lncRNA (ENSCCEG00000014867.1)
Source: RNAcentral